CACUUCUAAGGUUCAAAUGCGUUUGCAAAUCAGGUUCAAACGUUUUUGUAAAUCAAGGUGUUCUUUAAUUAAAGAUGACAAAUUCAUCGAUCUUCGUCGAGAUCUAUGAAAAAGUGAUAUAAAUAGACAGAAAUUGUUGGUGUCUUUGUUUUGCAAGAAGGAUGACCCUUACUCCUCCUCCUCCGUAGACGCUCUACUUCUACAUGAUUCUGUUAUUUCUCUUGUUGAGGUUGUUUUUUAAUUAAAGAUGACAAGUUCAUCAAUCUUUGUCAAGAUAUAUGCAAAAGUGAUAUAAAUAGACAAAAAUUGUUGGUCUUUUUGUUUUGCAACAAGGAUGAUCCUUACUAAUCCUCCUCCGUAGACGCUCCACUUCAACAUGAUUUCGUUGUUUCUUGUUAAGGGUGCUCUUUAAUUAAAGAUGACAAAUUCAUCAAUUUUCGUCAAGAUCUAUGCAAAAGUGAUAUAAAUAGACAAAAAUUAUUGGUC
This is a long non-coding RNA of Solanum pennellii, 486 nucleotides long. RefSeq lists it as uncharacterized. The transcript has 3 exons. NCBI's taxonomy places the organism in Eukaryota, Viridiplantae, Streptophyta, Magnoliopsida, Solanales, Solanaceae. The record is from RefSeq and is a predicted model, not a curated record.